This 461-nucleotide ribosomal RNA is filed under the name uncultured bacterium. RNAcentral's name for it is "partial 16S ribosomal RNA". It matches the Rfam family "Bacterial small subunit ribosomal RNA", at positions 338 to 795 of the family's 1533-position model. The record is from RNAcentral.
CCUACGGGCGGCAGCAGUGAGGAAUAUUGGUCAAUGGGCUUACGCCUGAACCAGCCAAGUCGCGUGAGGGAAGACUGCCCUAUGGGUUGUAAACCUCUUUUGUCAGGGAGCAAUUGGCGCUACGUGUAGCGUUAUCGAGAGUACCUGAAGAAAAAGCAUCGGCUAACUCCGUGCCAGCAGCCGCGGUAAUACGGAGGAUGCGAGCGUUAUCCGGAUUUAUUGGGUUUAAAGGGAGCGUAGAUGGGUUGUUAAGUCAGUUGUGAAAGUUUGCGGCUCAACCGUAAAAUUGCAAUUGAUACUGGCAGCCUUGAGUACAGUUGAGGUAGGCGGAAUUCGUGGUGUAGCGGUGAAAUGCUUAGAUAUCACGAAGAACUCCGAUUGCGAAGGCAGCCUACUAAACUGCCACUGACAUUGAUGCUCGAAAGUGUGGGUAUCAAACAGGAUUAGAUACCCGAGUAGUC